CAAUAGCGUAUAUUAAAGUUGUUGCGGCUAAAAAGCUCGUAGUUGGAGUUCUGCCAGGUGCCGCCUGUCCGCCCCAGUGGUGAGUACGUGGCGCGCAUUUGGCCCUUUCAAGGGGAGCGUAUCUGCACUUUAUUGUGUGGUGCGGGAUCCUUGACUUUUACUUUGAGGAAAUAGGAGUGUUCCAAGCAGGCUCUCGUCGUGCACAGCUCAGCAUGGAAUAAUAGCAUUGGACCUCGAUUCUAAGCUGUUGGUUGCCAGAAGCGAGGUAAUGAUGAAGAGGGAUAGUUGGGGGCAUUCGUAUUUAACUGUCAGAGGUGAAAUUCUUGGACUUGUUAAAGACGGACUACUGCGAAAGCAUCUGCCAUGGAUGUUUUCAUUGA
Molecule: ribosomal RNA, 380 nt
Filed under: uncultured eukaryote
Lineage: Eukaryota
Description: partial 18S ribosomal RNA
Rfam family: Eukaryotic small subunit ribosomal RNA
Source: RNAcentral